CUCUCUCUCUCAAAUAAAUCUUAAAAAAAAAAAGAAAAAAGAGGCUACCACAGAAGGGAAAAGUAAGUCUCCAUAAAACCCAGAGACUGUCAUCUCUUCUUUGGAUCCUAUCUGGUGUCACAGCU
Oryctolagus cuniculus (rabbit) is the source of this 125-nucleotide small nucleolar RNA. The record is from Ensembl. NCBI's taxonomy places the organism in Eukaryota, Metazoa, Chordata, Mammalia, Lagomorpha, Leporidae.